CUACGGGGUGCUGCAGCGAGGAAUUUUGGACGAUGGGCGCAAGCCUGAUCCAGCCAUUCCGCGUGAGUGAAGAAGGCCUUCGGGUUGUAAAGCUCUUUCGCAAGGGAAGAAAACUUAUCCUCUAACAUAGGGUGAGGUUGACGGUACCUUGAUAAGAAGCACCGGCUAACUACGUGCCAGCAGCCGCGGUAAUACGUAGGGUGCGAGCGUUAAUCGGAAUUACUGGACGUAAAGCGUGCGCAGGCUGUUUUGUAAGUCAGAUGUGAAAUCCCCGAGCUCAACUUGGGAACUGCGUUGAAACUACAAGACUCGAAUAUGUCAGAGGGGGGUAGAAUUCCAUGUGUAGCAGUGAAAUGCGUAGAGAUGUGGAGGAAUACCAAUGGCGAAGGCAGCCCCCUGGGAUAAUAUUGACGCUCAUGCACGAAAGCGUGGGGAGCAAACAGGAUUAGAUACCCCCGUAGUC
RNAcentral lists this ribosomal RNA (463 nucleotides) under uncultured bacterium. RNAcentral describes it as "partial 16S ribosomal RNA". It matches the Rfam family "Bacterial small subunit ribosomal RNA", at positions 339 to 795 of the family's 1533-position model. The record is from RNAcentral.